CGGCAACAGCUCAAAUUUGAAAUCUGGCCCCCGGGUCCGCGUUGUAAUUUGUAGAGGAUGCUUUUGGUGCGGUACCUUCCGAGUUCCCUGGAACGGGACGCCAUAGAGGGUGAGAGCCCCGUCUGGUUGGACGCCAAUCCUUUGUAAAGCUCCUUCAAC
This 159-nucleotide ribosomal RNA is filed under the name Nectriaceae sp. RNAcentral's name for it is "partial large subunit ribosomal RNA". It matches the Rfam family "Eukaryotic large subunit ribosomal RNA", at positions 99 to 261 of the family's 3401-position model. Lineage: Eukaryota; Fungi; Ascomycota; Sordariomycetes; Hypocreales; Nectriaceae. The record is from RNAcentral.